This 260-nucleotide long non-coding RNA is filed under the name Chelydra serpentina (North American snapping turtle). RNAcentral describes it as "lncRNA (ENSCSRG00000001022.1)". Lineage: Eukaryota; Metazoa; Chordata; Testudines; Chelydridae. The record is from RNAcentral.
GCUGCAUAUAAACAGCAUGUAACGAGAGAAUCUGAGUCGUCAGCUUACAUGUGCAGCCUGGGCAUGCAUUAAAUGUGUCUUGUGUCCAAGUUAUAGCCACAACUGAAAUACCUUUAGGGAGGCUGAAAAAUGUGGAUGAAGAGAGGGAAAGUGGAAGAAUAAAAGAGAAAGCCCUGUCUCCCCCACUGACACUCACGCUGAUGGUCUUGGCUGGGGAACAGAUACUGUUGGCAGAGAUCUGAGAGGAACUCACAGUGGUA